AGUCAAACGCCCAUCAAACUGCAGUUUCGAUUAGCUAGUCUUUUUUCUCCGCGCUGCUUGAUGUUGCUGAUGCACUUCCGUGGGGGCGCUAUGAUGAGCCAAGAAUCAACUAUAAACAUCAUGCAGACGAUGUUUUUGGGGGAAAAUGUUUCAAUGAAUUACACCAAAACGAGCGGGCACAUUUUCGAGGUAAUGUGCUCUCCCCAAAGCGCUACGCAUCCCAGAGAGAGAGAGGAACAUUGGAACAUAUGGAAGAAUGAAGCCUGCCCAAGCUACAUCAGAGAACAUUACUACAUUUCCCAUCAGCGGUUUGAGUGCACCUCCUACUGUAUAUAGAAUGAUGAUUCAACAGGAUCUUAACAAGUAUAACCUCAAGUCAGUUCGUCAUACAGUCACUGCAGGGGAACCUCUGGCAGGGGGAAAUUAUUCAUUGUUUUGGCUAGUUCCACAAGUUUCUUAACACUACUCUUCCAAAUGAGGGAACAUCGUGCUACUUGUAUGCAGUUGGAGCCUGCGUGAUGCAGACGUGAUUAUAUGCGUUUUCUGAGUGCACAUCUCUUUGGUACUAGGCCUGGGUGACUAAUGAAAUUGACUACUCGACUAGUCGCACCUCAACUUGCAACUACGACACAAGUAGUGACUAAUUUUUAAUUUUCAAGAUGCAGUGUGCCAAUGUGUACCAAUAGGCAAAGUAAAAUUUAAGUUUUGGUUGGGGAGGAGUCGAGUGUUACUUUAGUUUUGAAAACUGUAUUCGGUGGUACUACAUCCUUCCUAUCUAGAACUACUUGCUGUUUUUCUUCUUUAUUCGGCAAGGAAGAGGCAUAACACAAAGCUAAUGCAUCCUUGUUUUCCCCCCCCCGUUUUUAAUAAAAAAAAAAAAAAACGUUUUUAUCAAAGUACAUAGAUCCCCUCAGCACCACAAAGUCCUAUACUGCUAGAAGUGCAACCCGAAACAAUUGAAAAGGGAAAGACUAAGCUCAAGUUCCCUUGUGAAUACAUGCAAUUUGUAAUAAAAUGUUAAUUCAAGUAAAUAAAAUACUUGGUAAAGUUUUAAUCAUUUUGGGCUUGAACAAAGCAAAAAUGACUGGAGUGGGAUGUGAACCCUCGUACCGGUACUCUACCAAGUGAGCUAUCCAGUCAUAUUAUGUUGGUGGUCCCCCUAUUAGUAGUUAUCUUUAUUUGGGUGUCAGUCAGAAUUUUUGCCUAACAAUAUUUUAAUUUAUGUGCAUGGUGUUUCCUUAUUCUCUAAAUUUUGAACUUUAAAUUUAAAGUUUAAUUGACUCAGAAUUUACACAAUUAAAAUUCUCACAAUUAAAUGAAAAAAUGUUGUAAUUGCCUGUUAAUACUUUAAAUAAAGAUUUAAACAGAAAAUGCUGUUUAUACAGGAAUUAUGAAUAAUAAAAAAAAAUGAUGGUAACCUUUAAUCUUGCCUGAUAUAAGCAAUUGUUUUGGGGUUCUUUUUUUCUUGGGGGCGUGAUCUGAUAACAACAUUUGUACAGCCAAUUUAUAGUGCAUCGAUCAGAAGCUUUAAUUGCCUAUUUGUCUGAACUUACAGUGAUAAAAAACAUAAACAGUUUUUGAAAAUUGAACAAGAAUAAUGUUUGAACCAAAAAUCAUAACCCUGCAUCAAUUAUUUCAUGACAAAUCACGGCCGCAAUGUAGACGUUGUUGACUGUGUUUGCCUAUUACUGCUGUCUAAAUCAAAGAUUAUAGAGCGCCGCAAGGCGCAAUAUGCGGAACUGAAGCUUUAUCUAUUGUUGGAACGUGAAAUACGCA
This is a long non-coding RNA of Asterias rubens (European starfish), 1776 nucleotides long. RefSeq lists it as uncharacterized. The record is from RefSeq and is a predicted model, not a curated record. NCBI's taxonomy places the organism in Eukaryota, Metazoa, Echinodermata, Asteroidea, Forcipulatida, Asteriidae. The transcript has 4 exons.